AGUGAACGCUGGCGGCAUGCCUAACACAUGCAAGUCGAACGGCAGCACAGUAAGAUCUCGCUCCUACGGGUGGCGAGUGGCGGAUGGGUGAGGAAUACAUCGGCAUCUACUUUUUCGUGGGGGAUAACGUAGGGACACAUACGCUAAUACCGCAUACGAUCUACGGGUGAAAUCAGGGGAUCUUCGCAGUCUUCGCGACUGAUUGAGCCGAUGUCGGAUUAGCUAGUUGGCGGGGUAAAGGCCCACCAAGGCGACGAUCCGUAGCUGGUCUGAGAGGAUGAUCAGCCACACUGGAACUGAGACACGGUCCAGACUCCUACGGGAGGCAGCAGUGGGGAAUAUUGGGCAAUGGGCGAAAGCCUGAUCCAGCAAUGCCGCGUGAGUGAAGAAGGCCUUCGGGUUGUAAAGCCCUUUUGUUAGGGAAGAAAAGAAGCAGGUUAAUACCUCGCUGUUCUGACGGUACCCAAAGAAUAAGCACCGGCUAACUUCGUG
This 492-nucleotide ribosomal RNA is filed under the name uncultured bacterium. RNAcentral describes it as "partial 16S ribosomal RNA". It matches the Rfam family "Bacterial small subunit ribosomal RNA", at positions 29 to 507 of the family's 1533-position model. The record is from RNAcentral.